UGUGUCAGAACUCAAUCCGUCCAAUUAUUCUACAUCAUCAAAAUUCAUGAAAUCGAACCAAACUUGAGUACAUGUACAAGCAAAAAAGGUAUUAAAAAUUGAUUGAGUAAAGUUGUGUUGUGCGUCACACAUCAAUAUUGAUAAUCUUCAACAGAAAUGUUGAGACCUUGAUUUUGCCCAUAAUUAUCAGCAGUUUGACGAUGUUGUUGAGCAGGUGUUGGUAUUGUAAGAAACUGAGCAUCAAUAGCCAUGGCAGCAUCAGAGGCAACUUUUUGUACAGAUGUUGGUGACAUUCCAGGUUGAACAUUAGGCGGUAACAUGGAAGGGAAGUUUAAUUUAUGUAAAGACGAUGAUUCUGGACGGAGACAAUAAUAGGCAAUGUCAUGUGCUAUAGCUGCAGCUUCAGGGCUAGUGUAAGUACCUAGCCAAAGCCGUUCACUACUACCUGGAACUCGAAUUUCCGACACCCAUUUCCCCCAUUUUCUCCUCCGAAUCCCUCUGUAUUUUGCACCUGAACUCAUCUUUCUUCCUAAUUACUCUUAUGCUUGCUGACUGUUGUGUUGCCUUUGACAAAAAUAAAUAAAAAUAGUGUUGGUUAUUUAUAGGUUGAAGAUUGUGCAAGUCAACCCCUUAGGCCUCAUGCAUGUGGAGUGUGUGGACAUAGAAUAACCACUCAGGUCAAUGGUCAAAUUAAAAUAGGUUGAAGCACUAUGGACUAGCUUUUGAUCCAUUCAAGGGGGG
This 741-nucleotide long non-coding RNA is filed under the name Solanum tuberosum (potato). RNAcentral's name for it is "long non-coding RNA (STUB_LNC001621)". The record is from RNAcentral. Lineage: Eukaryota; Viridiplantae; Streptophyta; Magnoliopsida; Solanales; Solanaceae.